Molecule: ribosomal RNA, 495 nt
Filed under: uncultured bacterium
Lineage: Bacteria
Description: partial 16S ribosomal RNA
Rfam family: Bacterial small subunit ribosomal RNA
Source: RNAcentral
GAUGAACGCUGGCGGCGUGCCUAAUACAUGCAAGUAGAACGCUGAAGGAGGAGCUUGCUCUUCUGGAUGAGUUGCGAACGGGUGAGUAACGCGUAGGUAACCUGCCUGGUAGCGGGGGAUAACUAUUGGAAACGAUAGCUAAUACCGCAUGACAACAGUUAUUGCAUGAUAACUGUUUAAAAGGGGCAACUGCUCCACUACCAGAUGGACCUGCGUUGUAUUAGUUAGUUGGUGAGGUAACGGCUCACCAAGGCGACGAUACAUAGCCGACCUGAGAGGGUGAUCGGCCACACUGGGACUGGGACAAGGCCCAGACUGCUACGGGAAGCAGCAGUAGGGAAACUUCGGCAAUGGACGGAAGGCUGGACGAGCAAAGCCGCGGGAGUGAAGAAGGGUUUCGGAUCGGAAAGAUCGGUUGUAAGAGAAGAACGAGAGUGAGAGUGGAAAGUUCACACUGUGACGGUAUCUUACCAGAAAGGGACGGCUAACUACGUG